UUAACUCACUUUUGUAUGGAGUUGGAACGUUUGCCCACGUUUGCCGCUAGUGGCGUUGUUCCAACUCCAUACAAAUUUGAGUUA
Molecule: non-coding RNA, 84 nt
Organism: Bombyx mori (domestic silkworm)
Lineage: Eukaryota; Metazoa; Arthropoda; Insecta; Lepidoptera; Bombycidae
Source: Rfam